CUCCUAAGGCUAAAUACUCUCUAGUGACCGAUAGUGAACCAGUACCGUGAGGGAAAGGUGAAAAGCACCCCGGAAGGGGAGUGAAAUAGAACCUGAAACCGUGUGCUUACAAGUAGUCAGAGCCCGUUAAUGGGUGAUGGCGUGCCUUUUGUAGAAUGAACCGGCGAGUUACGAUUUGAUGCAAGGUUAAGCAGUAAAUGUGGAGCCGUAGCGAAAGCGAGUCUGAAUAGGGCGUUUAGUAUUUGGUCGUAGACCCGAAACCAGGUGAUCUACCCUUGGUCAGGUUGAAGUUCAGGUAACACUGAAUGGAGGACCGAACCGACUUACGUUGAAAAGUGAGCGGAUGAACUGAGGGUAGCGGAGAAAUUCCAAUCGAACCUGGAGAUAGCUGGUUCUCUCCGAAAUAGCUUUAGGGCUAGCCUCAAGUGAUGAUUAUUGGAGGUAGAGCACUGUUUGGACGAGGGGCCCCUCUCGGGUUACCGAAUUCAGACAAACUCCGAAUGCCAAUUAAUUUAACUUGGGAGUCAGAACAUGGGUGAUAAGGUCCGUGUUCGAAAGGGAAACAGCCCAGACCACCAGCUAAGGUCCCAAAAUAUAUGUUAAGUGGAAAAGGAUGUGGCGUUGCCCAGACAACUAGGAUGUUGGCUUAGAAGCAGCCAUCAUUUAAAGAGUGCGUAAUAGCUCACUAGUCGAGUGACACUGCGCCGAAAAUGUACCGGGGCUAAACAUAUUACCGAAGCUGUGGAUUGUCCUUUGGACAAUGGUAGGAGAGCGUUCUAAGGGCGUUGAAGCAUGAUCGUAAGGACAUGUGGAGCGCUUAGAAGUGAGAAUGCCGGUGUGAGUAGCGAAAGACGGGUGAGAAUCCCGUCCACCGAUUGACUAAGGUUUCCAGAGGAAGGCUCGUCCGCUCUGGGUUAGUCGGGUCCUAAGCUGAGGCCGACAGGCGUAGGCGAUGGAUAACAGGUUGAUAUUCCUGUACCACCUAUAAUCGUUUUAAUCGAUGGGGGGACGCAGUAGGAUAGGCGAAGCGUGCGAUUGGAUUGCACGUCUAAGCAGUAAGGCUGAGUAUUAGGCAAAUCCGGUACUCGUUAAGGCUGAGCUGUGAUGGGGAGAAGACAUUGUGUCUUCGAGUCGUUGAUUUCACACUGCCGAGAAAAGCCUCUAGAUAGAAAAUAGGUGCCCGUACCGCAAACCGACACAGGUAGUCAAGAUGAGAAUUCUAAGGUGAGCGAGCGAACUCUCGUUAAGGAACUCGGCAAAAUGACCCCGUAACUUCGGGAGAAGGGGUGCUCUUUAGGGUUAACGCCCAGAAGAGCCGCAGUGAAUAGGCCCAAGCGACUGUUUAUCAAAAACACAGGUCUCUGCUAAACCGUAAGGUGAUGUAUAGGGGCUGACGCCUGCCCGGUGCUGGAAGGUUAAGAGGAGUGGUUAGCUUCUGCGAAGCUACGAAUCGAAGCCCCAGUAAACGGCGGCCGUAACUAUAACGGUCCUAAGGUAGCGAAAUUCCUUGUCGGGUAAGUUCCGACCCGCACGAAAGGCGUAACGAUUUGGGCACUGUCUCAACGAGAGACUCGGUGAAAUCAUAGUACCUGUGAAGAUGCAGGUUACCCGCGACAGGACGGAAAGACCCCGUGGAGCUUUACUGUAGCCUGAUAUUGAAAUUCGGCACAGCUUGUACAGGAUAGGUAGGAGCCUUUGAAACGUGAGCGCUAGCUUACGUGGAGGCGCUGGUGGGAUACUACCCUAGCUGUGUUGGCUUUCUAACCCGCACCACUUAUCGUGGUGGGAGACAGUGUCAGGCGGGCAGUUUGACUGGGGCGGUCGCCUCCUAAAAGGUAACGGAGGCGCUCAAAGGUUCCCUCAGAAUGGUUGGAAAUCAUUCAUAGAGUGUAAAGGCAUAAGGGAGCUUGACUGCGAGACCUACAAGUCGAGCAGGGUCGAAAGACGGACUUAGUGAUCCGGUGGUUCCGCAUGGAAGGGCCAUCGCUCAACGGAUAAAAGCUACCCCGGGGAUAACAGGCUUAUCUCCCCCAAGAGUUCACAUCGACGGGGAGGUUUGGCACCUCGAUGUCGGCUCAUCGCAUCCUGGGGCUGUAGUCGGUCCCAAGGGUUGGGCUGUUCGCCCAUUAAAGCGGUACGCGAGCUGGGUUCAGAACGUCGUGAGACAGUUCGGUCCCUAUCCGUCGUGGGCGUAGGAAAUUUGAGAGGAGCUGUCCUUAGUACGAGAGGACCGGGAUGGACAUACCUCUGGUGUACCAGUUGUCGU
This 2266-nucleotide ribosomal RNA is filed under the name Staphylococcus aureus. RNAcentral describes it as "partial 23S ribosomal RNA". It matches the Rfam family "Bacterial large subunit ribosomal RNA", at positions 457 to 2727 of the family's 2925-position model. The record is from RNAcentral. Lineage: Bacteria; Bacillati; Bacillota; Bacilli; Caryophanales; Staphylococcaceae.